RNAcentral lists this ribosomal RNA (294 nucleotides) under Triticum aestivum (bread wheat). RNAcentral describes it as "partial small subunit ribosomal RNA". Lineage: Eukaryota; Viridiplantae; Streptophyta; Magnoliopsida; Poales; Poaceae. The record is from RNAcentral.
AUGUGUUGGAACAUGUGUGGGCUUAACUAUCAUGCCAAGCAUGUUGCUGUUCACAACAUGAUCAUAGCGAUCGUUCCUUGGAUCACAUGUCUCUAGGCAACACAACUGACUUCGAUCUUGUCCUCCCUUGUUUUGGAAACUCUUGGACCACAAUUCAAUGACUUCUUUUAUUUACCAGCGGAUGACACUAGAGGAAGGAUCCUCCGUGCUUGGAAACAAACCAAGAUUGCUCUCUCCAAUCCCUCGAUGGGUUUGUACCGUGUCACAAUGCUCGUGUCCGCCCCCUGCUGGUGA